RNAcentral lists this ribosomal RNA (252 nucleotides) under uncultured Bacteroidales bacterium. RNAcentral describes it as "partial 16S ribosomal RNA". It matches the Rfam family "Bacterial small subunit ribosomal RNA", at positions 524 to 776 of the family's 1533-position model. Lineage: Bacteria; Pseudomonadati; Bacteroidota; Bacteroidia; Bacteroidales. The record is from RNAcentral.
UACGGAGGAUGCGAGCGUUAUCCGGAUUUAUUGGGUUUAAAGGGUGCGCAGGCGGCCUGUUAAGUCAGCGGUAAAAGCCCGGGGCUCAACCCCGGCGAGCCGUUGAAACUGGCGGGCUGGAGUUGGAGAGAAGUACGCGGAAUGCGCGGUGUAGCGGUGAAAUGCUUAGAUAUCGCGCAGAACCCCGAUUGCGAAGGCAGCUUACCAAACUAUAUCUGACGUUGAGGCACGAAAGCGUGGGUAGCAAACAGG